UUUUUUCUUCGCUCGCGAGUGAAAUUUUGCCGUAUCCACGCCGUUUGGGUGCGGAUCCGCACCCAACACGUACCCGACACGGGUACGGGACCUAGAUUGAAGUGUCGGGGUAACAUAGCAUAUAAACCUCAAUCUUUCAUAUUUUGAUGUAGCCCAUUAAAAUCUUUGUACUUUAAUAUAAAGUGGGAAAGUUUAUUAUUCUUCUCUCUACCGCAGCAUUUCAGGUAGGCAAUUUUAUGUUCAUAGUUGUGUUAUUUUCAUAUAUACCCCUUAAUUUAUGGGCAUUUGCAAAAUACCUCCUAAAUCAUAUAUUUGAAAAACUACCCCUCAAAUCAUCAACUUUGUGAAAAAAUAUCCCUAAAAUCAACAAAUCAUCAAGUUGGUGCUAGAAAUUUGACUAUUUUGUUGAUAAUUUUUACAUUGUGAUUACAAAUUAGCUUAUCGGAGUUGAUGAUUACUUGCUUUGAUGGUAGUCUUCUCAAAAAUUGAUGAUUUGAGGGGUGCUUUUGUAAAUACUGAGAUUUGGAGGGUAUUUUUGCAAAGAUUUAAGGGCUAUAUAUGCAAAUGACCCUUAAUAAUUUCCUGAAUCAAUUUCUAAAUUAUUGGGACACAGUGCACCAUAGUAAUCUAGAAACAUUAAUAUACUUGUCAAAAAUGUUGUGCUCAAAAUGAUCUGACAAGAAUAUGUUCCUUUAAACUUAUAAUAAGCAUGCUCACCACAACCACAUCAAAUUGACCAUCUAUUUCAGAAAUCUAUGGUGUCCUUUCCUCUGCGGCAUUUGUGAUAUGAAAUUCGAAAUCAUCCAUAAAAUAUAAGCAAUCAAGUUUGCCAGAGUUAUUUGUUACAUAUGGCCAGUCCAUCCAACGAGGAAAAUCCUCUAGUUGUAUCUCUGCAGAAAAGAACAUCAGAUUAGGUUAAGUCUAUAUUUUGAGCUUGAUCCGUGAACCAACUUUGACCCCCAAGCUUUCCUAUCCGGGCUUCAAUAUUGAUUAAUGAGGAAUUUUAAAUGUUUAUAAAGCAUAGUACAAUCAUAUCAAACUUCAUUUUGUUACACACUGAGGACAGGUUGGUAAUUUGACACAUGCUGGAAGAGGAUACAUCAUAGAGUUGUGCUAUGAGUAAAUCACUUUCUUUCUAUGUAUCUGUUUCGUAUGACUAUGAAUUAAUGACCCCCUCGGUGUGAGGCAGGCACUUCAUGAGGCUCUGUUGAGGCAAGAGGAGCUCUUAGCUUACCUUGACGGCCAGCGGGAGGCUAAGUUCAGGAAGAAGAAAUUCUGCUACUGAAAAUGCUUACCAUUUCCCACUGUCUGGUUUGUUUCUUGUUGUAAAGUAAGUUCCCAUGAAGCAUGCUCGAAAUUUACAGAAGAAAUUUCUGGUUGUUACUGGCGCACUAGUAAAUAUUUGGUAUUUUUUUAAUGUUUAUAAAAAUGAAGAGAAUCUUGUUGGUAUGAGAAAAAUGUGAGGUCUUUCCGCAGUCACGGGUGUGUUUGUUUUGUUUUGUUUUGUUUGCAUACUUUCUGCUUUGUAUUUAUUUUCUAUACUGAUUUGGCAUUUUCAUGUAAUAUGGGAUUAUGAUAAACCUAUAAGGAAUGUAUUAACGUGAAAUGUGUAAAUGAUAAAACCUUUUCUUGUAA
Long non-coding RNA from Asparagus officinalis (garden asparagus), 1635 nucleotides. RefSeq lists it as uncharacterized. NCBI's taxonomy places the organism in Eukaryota, Viridiplantae, Streptophyta, Magnoliopsida, Asparagales, Asparagaceae. The transcript is spliced from 3 exons. The record is from RefSeq and is a predicted model, not a curated record.